GUCUUUCAACAUUUUAAAAGAGAUUGAAAUUGAAAACGAGAAUUAUAAAAGGCAACCGAUCACGCUUUGCUCCCCCCUUCAAAAGAAAGAAGUGUUGAAAAUGAAAAAGACUGUUAACCAAAUGAGUGCUGCUUUUAGAGUUGGAAGAGAACCAGUCCAGGCCAUGUGUGGUGCUCCUGUGCGGUGGUUGUGAUCCCGAGCAAGUCACUGAACCACUCAGCCCAUGAAACAAGCCGAGCAUGCACCUCUCAGGGCCAUAGGGAGGCCAGCGUGAGAAAAGCACGGAGAAAGCUUCAGUGAACCCCAAGUUGCUGCCCGGAUCCAGCGUCUGGUGGCUCUCACUGUGACUGUGGUUAGGCGGCCUUGACAUGUUGCUGUCAUGCCCGCCACUGAGAGAAACAAGGGAAUGAGUAUCAAGGAUGACCCAGGGCAGGCAGUGGGGUUUCCAGGGCAGGGCCUCUCCUGGGGAAGCCCAUCUUCUCCCACCUCUCAUGCAGUGAGAUUGGCUGCAGCCACUGUGAUGGCCUAGGGCAUGGAUUACACCGUGCUCUGCCCUGCUUGACUGACUUGGUUAUCUUCGCUCCUCACCAUCCCCUCCCUGUUCCUUCUUGGAAAUGGAAUGGCUCUUCUCAGCACAGCCACCCAGCCCCUGCACCCAGCCUCUGUGCCAAGCUGGCAGGAUAACGAAUGGCUCCACCUCCUCCUCGCCUCCGUCAGGAGGGGCUCUGAGCAACCCUCUGCUCACAGCCCUCUGUGGUUUCCCCUUAUCCUCCUUGGAGCUGCAUGGAGACUGCUUGUCUAGACAUUGAGAUGGCUUUACCAGGUGUCGCUCACUGCAUUGGGUUCCCUUCACGUUCAGCACCUACUGAAUACCCAGGAUAAUAACUGCACCACUGCGGGGUGCAGGAGGUGUCCCCAAAUGUCCAUAAGUGUACACACAUAUGUGCACACAUGCACAUGGGAAACUUUUAUUUAUUUAUUUAUUUAUUUAUUUAUUUAUUUAUUUUUGGAGACAGGGUCUCAUUCUGUCACCCAGGCUGGAGUGCAAUGGCACAAUCUCAGCUCACUGCAACCUCCACCUCCCAGGUUUAAGUGAUUCUCCUGCCUCAGCCUCCGGAGUAGCUGGGAUUACAAUAUGUGCCACCAUGCCCGGCUAAUUUUUGUAUUUUUAGUAGAGAUGGGUUUUUGCCACAUUGGCCAGGCUGGUCUCAAACACUUGACCUCAGGUGAUUCACCUGCCUCGGUCUCCCAAAGUGCUGGGAUUACAGGCAUAAGCCACUGUGUCUGGCCCAAUUUUUUAAAAUAUAAUAACAACUCUGGUGGGGAGCAAUGGCUCAUGCCUGUAAUCCCAACACUUUGGGAGGCCAGAGUGGGUGGAUCACUUGAGGUCAGGAGUUUGAGACCAGCCUGACCAACAUGGUGAAACCCUUCUCUACUAAAAAUACAAAAUUAGCUGGGCAUGGUGGUGCAUGCUGUAAUCCCAGCUAUUCGGGAGGCUGAGGCAGGAUAAUCGCUUGAACCCAGAAGAUGGAGGUGGCAGUGAGCCGAGAUCGUGCCACUGCACUUCAGCCUGGGCAACAAGAGCAAAACUUCGUCUCAAAAAAAAAACAAAAAAACAAAAAACAAUAAUAGUAAAAGUAAUAGUAACAACUCUGGUAAAACAGACAUCAGAUGUUUUCCAGUUUUCUUCCCUUGUUGAAUGAACCUGGACUGCAGCCCAAGGGGAUGUUAUCUUUCCCUUGUACCUAGAGAUUCCUAAAGCCUCUCUGAAGGACAGAGCAGGCUCUCAGUAAAGGUCUUUGGCCAAGGCAAGUGUCAGCUGGAAGGCCC
This 1830-nucleotide long non-coding RNA is filed under the name Homo sapiens (human). RNAcentral describes it as "HSALNT0001711". Lineage: Eukaryota; Metazoa; Chordata; Mammalia; Primates; Hominidae. The record is from RNAcentral.